CAUGUCUUUAAUACACCCUCCAGAAUAUUUUCGCGAUAAUAUGUGGCAUUUUUCCGAUGCCACGGUCAAUUAAUACGGGAACGGAGAACGAACAUCGGCUGUUAUGGCGGCCCACACCAUAACCAUGGCCGGCGCUUGAGUUCUGUUGGCCAACCGAAGGUGCACAUUUUCAGCUGACCUCUUUGACAAGUAAACACGAUCAUUUUGUUUGUUUACAAACUGCUGAACAACGAAUGUUUUCUAAUCGGAGAAACCCAAAUCCGGCAGUUCACCACUUUCGGUCAAGCGAAGCAACUCUUAGGCUCUUUUGAGUCUAUUUUCUUUCUGUUGCGGUGUAAGUUCUUGCACUUUUUGGAAUUUCAAUGGCUUUACCCUGAGCUCAUUUUCCAAUAUUUGCCGAAUGGAAUAUUGCGAUAAGUUCAGUUCACGAGCCAUUUUUCGGUCACUGCGACACGGGUUUCGAUCAAGUCGCUUCUUUAUUUUUCGAACCAUUUCUGCUAAUUUUGCAGUUUUCUUCCGUCCUCUUUCUUGACUUCGAUGGUACGAGAAACAACAGAUUAAUUCAUAUUUAAAUUUUGGAGUGCUCUAACGAUAGUCACUUGUGGUUUUCCAGCCAAAUAUAAAGAAAUCACACUAUGACGCUUGAAUUCCAUCACGAAUAAAUUUUUUUCUGGAAAAUUCUCACCAAAAUGCUUUUGU
Molecule: long non-coding RNA, 699 nt
Organism: Musca vetustissima
Lineage: Eukaryota; Metazoa; Arthropoda; Insecta; Diptera; Muscidae
Exons: 2
Source: RefSeq, a predicted model, not a curated record